CCCGCCUCCCUCGCCCCCCCUUCAACCCCUACACCCACCCACACUUCGCUCCGGAGCCUCUUCCACAGAGAGCUCCACGCUUUGAUUCGGGAGCUGAGUGCUCCCCAGGUUAAAAGUGCUGCAGACCUGAAUGUCCCAUAACUAUGCCCCGGGAAGCAGAAGCGGACUGGAGGGCAGUAGGAACGGCCUGGGCCACGAUAUGGUGGCUCACACAAAUUCUUCUAAAGCAGAGGGAGAGUUUUUAAAUUCAUGUGGACUGCUUGGAAGUGAUUUAAAGCAAGAAGUAAGGGAGUUGGAAAGCAGGAAGCAAUGGGAAGGAAACAAACAGAAGUUCAAAGGUAUGUUUAAGGUGCUCAAGGGCAGAGAACAUGUCUUAUGCUUUAAAAACAAGUCCUCCAUGGUACCUCACUAUACUAGGUACUCAACAAAUAUUUACUGAUCUGAUCUGAGUGAAAAAACAUUAAAAGAAAGAUAUAGUGGACAAACUUAAGAACCUUCAAAUCACUACCUG
RNAcentral lists this long non-coding RNA (511 nucleotides) under Phascolarctos cinereus (koala). RNAcentral's name for it is "lncRNA (ENSPCIG00000024168.2)". The record is from RNAcentral. Lineage: Eukaryota; Metazoa; Chordata; Mammalia; Diprotodontia; Phascolarctidae.